UUCCGGCUGUCCAAAUGCCGGGGUCACUGAAGAGGCACUUACUUCCUUGCCAGGCGUGCGGACGGGAUACCCCCAUCCAAAGCGCUAGCAUCACAAGACGGAACGCCAAGGGACCACACCCCCUCG
Stappia sp. 22II-S9-Z10 is the source of this 126-nucleotide non-coding RNA. The record is from Rfam. Lineage: Bacteria; Pseudomonadati; Pseudomonadota; Alphaproteobacteria; Hyphomicrobiales; Stappiaceae.